CGGGGCAUAGCGCAGUCUGGUAGCGCAACUGCUUUGGGAGCAGUGGGUCGGGAGUUCGAAUCUCUCUGCCCCGACCA
Molecule: transfer RNA, 77 nt
Filed under: gamma proteobacterium HTCC5015
Lineage: Bacteria; Pseudomonadati; Pseudomonadota; Gammaproteobacteria
Also listed under: 2 other names
Description: tRNA-Pro
Rfam family: tRNA
About the family: Transfer RNA (tRNA) molecules are approximately 80 nucleotides in length.
Source: RNAcentral